RNAcentral lists this unclassified non-coding RNA (303 nucleotides) under Hevea brasiliensis (rubber tree). The record is from RNAcentral. Lineage: Eukaryota; Viridiplantae; Streptophyta; Magnoliopsida; Malpighiales; Euphorbiaceae.
GGAAGGUCAAUCACUUCUUGCUCAGAGUUCUCAGGAUUCUCAGAGUGUAAAGCAACUAUGUGCUUUGCAAGGCGCCUGUCGGUCUGCUCAUCUGCUUUGUCUAGAAUUAAAUAUAUCAAAUCAAAUCUAGACAGCAGGGUAGGUGGAAGGUGUAUAUUAUCAAUGACAGAUAAUCGGGGAUUGUAACGGGAGCCAAUUGGAUUUGCACAUGCCAAUACUGAAGUCCUAGCAUUAAGCGAAGCGAUAAUUCCAGCCUUUGCAAUUGAAACAGUUUGUUGCUCCAUCACCUCAUGUAACAUGCUC